Molecule: ribosomal RNA, 575 nt
Filed under: Papiliotrema terrestris
Lineage: Eukaryota; Fungi; Basidiomycota; Tremellomycetes; Tremellales; Rhynchogastremaceae
Description: LSU rRNA
Rfam family: Eukaryotic large subunit ribosomal RNA
Source: RNAcentral
GUACGGCGAGUGACCGGGAAGAGCUCAAAUUUGAAAUCUGGCGUGCUCAGUGCGUCCGAGUUGUAAUCUAUAGAGGCGUUUUCCGUGCCGGACUGUGUCUAAGUCCCUUGGAACAGGGUAUCAAAGAGGGUGAUAAUCCCGUACUUGACACAAUGACCGGUGCUCUGUGAUACGUCUUCUACGAGUCGAGUUGUUUGGGAAUGCAGCUCAAAAUGGGUGGUGAGUUCCAUCUAAAGCUAAAUAUUGGCGAGAGACCGAUAGCGAACAAGUACCGUGAGGGAAAGAUGAAAAGCACUUUGGAAAGAGAGUUAAACAGUACGUGAAAUUGUUGAAAGGGAAACGAUUGAAGUCAGUCGUGACUGAGAGGCUCAGCCGGUUCUGCCGGUGUAUUCCCCUCAGUCGGGUCAACAUCAGUUUUGUUCGGUGGAUAAGGGCAGCUGGAAGGUGGCACCUCCGGGUGUGUUAUAGCCAGCUGUCGCAUACAUCGAAUGAGACUGAGGAAUGCAGCUCGCCUUUAUGGCCGGGGUUCGCCCACGUCCGAGCUUAGGAUGUUGACAUAAUGGCUUUAAACGACC